Salvia hispanica is the source of this 440-nucleotide long non-coding RNA. RefSeq lists it as uncharacterized. The record is from RefSeq and is a predicted model, not a curated record. NCBI's taxonomy places the organism in Eukaryota, Viridiplantae, Streptophyta, Magnoliopsida, Lamiales, Lamiaceae.
AAACAAUAGGAACUCACUCCAAAACUUUCAACCAUCCAAAGGAGAGAGAAGGAGUAAGAAAAGGGGGAGAGUUGCAAACAAUUACAGGGUCAAGUCCCACAAUCCAACAACACAUUUUCCCACGUAAUGAAGGAAGAACAUACAGGAAGAUAACUUUGAGAAACAGAGAAUUACGAAAAUCCUAGGAAGCAAAAACAAGGUUGAGCAGCGAAGUGGUGGAUGAAGUGCUAUUGAGACAAUACAUUUAAUUCAGUCAGAUUAGGACUCUCGGAGGUUCAUGUCUCCAUACAUGGAACCGCGUUCAUUUGCUUCCGUUGUGCAUCUUAAAAGACUCAAGUCUAUUUUGUUCAAAACUCUGGUGUAUUGAAAUUUUUACAAACGAUUACUCGAGUUUCAUGAUCGAGUAUCUUUCCUUCUAUGUAUCAGCACUUGAUUAGUCA